This 228-nucleotide ribosomal RNA is filed under the name uncultured bacterium. RNAcentral describes it as "partial 16S ribosomal RNA". It matches the Rfam family "Bacterial small subunit ribosomal RNA", at positions 568 to 795 of the family's 1533-position model. The record is from RNAcentral.
UGCGUAGGCGGUUUACUAAGUCAGAUGUGAAAGCCCCGGGCUUAACCUGGGAACUGCAUUUGAUACUGGUAGGCUAGAGUAUAAUAGAGGGGGGUAGAAUUCCUGGUGUAGCGGUGAAAUGCGUAGAUAUCAGGAGGAAUACCAGUGGCGAAGGCGGCCCCCUGGAUCAAUACUGACGCUGAGGUACGAAAGCGUGGGUAGCGAACAGGAUUAGAUACCCUGGUAGUC